Molecule: non-coding RNA, 4793 nt
Organism: Nelumbo nucifera (sacred lotus)
Lineage: Eukaryota; Viridiplantae; Streptophyta; Magnoliopsida; Proteales; Nelumbonaceae
Source: RefSeq, a predicted model, not a curated record
CUCUUGUCUUCCUCGAAGUAGACAGAUUUCUGUUAUGUUCUACCGGGAACCUAAUAUAUUCCAGGUGAUUGAAUUGGGCAUCUUGUCAGAGGUUCUAUUGUGGAAAUCAUGGAGGUUUGAGAGAUAAAUUCAUGGUGACAAGACAAAGGUUCAAGAAGAGGUGUUUGAUUCGACUAGGAAGAACUAGGAAGGAGAGAAGAUGAGGGGUGAAACCGAUCAGAUCUAUAUAUAUUGCAGAGCAAAUUCCUCGUUCAAUUAGUGAGACAAGUGCCCCGUGAUUCUUCACAGGUCUCAUUCAUAUUUCUUGAGAUUCCUCACAAGUCUCAUUUGUGUUUGGUUUGAAGGAAAAGGUAGAGAAACUCAUACAAGAUUUAUACGUACAGGUUUCCCUAUUUUCAUACGAGAAAAGGAAUAACCAUGAUUUAAUUUGCUUACAAUAUUUGUACUUUUUGUCUCAUAUGCAAUCACAAGCAGUACAAAUUUUUCCCAAAAAUUGAUGUAAAAUCUCCGAUCUCAAUUCUCUCGAGUCUCGACCACAUCAUAUUGCUUCCUUUCUUACUCCAAUCUCCAAAUCAAAAUACUCCCUCCUACUUCUCCAUUCUCUUACAAGGCAGGGACCUCAUCCCGUAUCACUGUCAAAGAAGGCAGGCUUAUUUCAUUUUUAAUGCCUCUGUAUCUUUUUUUAUUGGCGGGAUAAAAGAAAGUAGUCGCUAUUUUUAAGGAUCGGCACCAAAAACCAUCACGCGCGAAAGCUAAAUUUCAUAUCGAACAAACGAUUGACUCUCCGCCUCUUCUCCAAGCCAAGGGUUUCUGCUCAUGCUCGUUUCAAAAGAGAGUGAAAGAGCUAAGUGGGAGCUGCAACUCCAACGUCGUCAACAUGGGUCGUAUGCACAGUCGUGGUAAGGGUAUAUCUUCAUCAGUUCUGUCGUACAAGAGGACUCCACCCUCUUGGUUGAAAAUCUCCGUUCAGGAUGUUGAGGAGAACAUCUGCACGUUUGUGAAGAACGGUUUGACUCCUCAAAACGGUGUCAUUAUUCAUGAUUCUCACGAGUGAAGGUGAUUUUGAUUCGGGGAAGUUCCGUGAAAGUUAGGAUCCACUUUUGAUGCUUCCUGCAUUGGGGGUGUAUUCCUGUGAUGCAAAAGCUCCCUUUGGUGGAAUGGGUAUUUCCAGUGAUGGAACAUAUGAUGCUUCUGCUCAUUCAGAUUACGGGACGAUAACUCUUCUGGUAACAGAUGGAGUCCGUGGACUUCGGGUUUGUAUAUCUAAUGGCCAAAAAAAGAUUGUCUCAUAUCUAUUGGUCAAAAAAAUGAUUGUCUCUCAAAUUUUGAUUGCUGACACUAUUCUAAUAUCACAUAUUUUUUUUUCUUUAACAGAUCUGCAUAGAAAAGGAUAGUUUGCCUUCCCUUUGUUUGUAUCUAUGUUUUAGUUUGUCUUUGGAGCUUAGAUGUUAUAUCUGCUUGAAUUCCAAGUUUGCAUCUAUGUUUAGGAAUCCAAUUCAUGAGCCUUGUCUUGCUUAUUUCUUUUCUUUUCAAUUUGUAACCUUCACUUUGUUUGUAUCUACAGUAUGCUUGUUUUAAUAUUCUUGUGCAUUUGACCUUUUUUUUCAACAGAUGGCAUAGUUUUGCUCUACGAAGGAUCCUCUUGUGUGCAUUUACAUAUUGUAGCUCUUUGGUGAAAGAUUAUUUCUGAGCAGUAAUGCAGUUUGUUUUUUGUGAAUAAUCUCUUGGGAUAAGAAAAAAAAGAACCUCUACUUCUAUAUUGGCUACUCUCUAUUUUGCUUAAUAAAUUUGUUACAUAAUAGAAGUGAUAUUACCAGUUAUCUACGCCAAAAAAGGAAAUGAUUAAGGUUUUGUGAAAAAAAUUUAAGGAAUCUGAACUUAGUAGAUGAUAUUGGCUCCUAAUAGGGUGGCGUAGUGAAGUGGGACUCAUGUAACCAACUGAAGUAAUUGAGUUACGUACAUCACGAGGUUUUGUUUUAGUUUAUAGUAUUCUGUUCUCUUGUUCAUAUGGCUCUGCUAUCAUACUCAAUCAAUUUGCUGAAUUGAAUCCAGUUUGAUAGCUGAAGCCUUCAAGCUAGAGUUCUAUAAACUAGUUUGAGGGACCCUUUCACAAUCAAUUUUCUAGGGACAAAUUGCCUUCAAGCUAUUAGUAGCCCUCUGUCUUCAUGUAAAUUUUCUAGAGCUUUCCUUCUUUGCUGGCAUUUUUAUGUAUUUAAGUUUUGGCACCAUGCUUUUACUUGGAUUUCUUGGGAGUAGUAGCUGUGGAGGUUCAGUAUAUGUCCAUCUAUACAUAUUCAAAUGUCUUAAACAUCAACUUUAUAAUUGCAUGGAGAGUAUACAUAGUUAAAGCACUUGUAAUAUGUUUUUAAAUUAAUAACUAAAAUCUCUUUGCUGAGCUACCAUGACAACAUACAUGAAAGCUUAGAGAAAUCUUAGACUGUCAGUUAUAAUAUUGUAUUUGUUUUUUUUUUUUUUUGUUGCUUUAUGGGUCUAAGGGUCAUUUUUCUAGUAUUGAAAUUUCAACAUCAAGAGUGGGUUGUAAAUUUGAUUCAGGACCAGAGGUGGUUGCCCAAUGUUUGGCUUAGUAGAGGGUGCUCUCUGUCACACAAGCUAUUGCUUAAUUUCUUAGGAAAAUGCAGAAUUCUAGCAGAACUAAUUCUCACUUAGGUUGGUACAAGGUAGGGGUACUAAUGUUGCUCUGCUUCCGGUUCUUUCCCACAUUAGUAGAAGCUGAAGCCUUGGUUGACCCAGAAACCAUCAUUUGCACAGGACUCUCCAAAUUAAUUCAAUUUCUUCCCCACAACAAUAGCAGCUGAAGCCUUAGUGGAUUCAGCAAGAUGGCAAAACCAUCAUUUGCACAGGACUCUCAGAAUUACUUCAAGUUUUUCCCCAUAUCAAUGGCAUCUGAAGCCUUUGUGGACCCAGCCAGACCAUCAUUUGUGCAGGACUCUCAGAUUUACCUCAAGUUCCUACUUGUAGCAAUAGCAUAUGUAGUCUUUGUGGACCCAUCAAGGUCAUCAUUUGCACAGGACUCUUAGAAUUACUUCAAGUUCUUCCCCAUAUCAAUAGCAGCUGAAGCUGUACUGGACCAGGACCUGGCAAGACCAUCAUUUGUGCAGGACUCUUGGAAUUACUUCAACUUCUUCCCCAUAUCAUCAAUAGCAGCUGAAGCCUUAGUAGACCUAGCAAGACCAUCAUUUACACAGGACUCUUGGAACCCGCAUGCCAAAUCCAUGCUUUGCCUUCUGAACUCUGUUUAGAAAUCCAAAAAGGUCAUUCUUCAAAUGGCAAUGUAAACUAGUUGGUUUUGAAAUACACUUUAUUUCUACAGAUUAUUUUGUGGUUCAAUAUUAUACUAUACAAUAAACUAGAAGAUCAGAAGAUCAGAUAGAACAAGAGUUGCAAACUAUAUAACCAUGGAGGUAGUAUUUAUCUAUAACUCUGGAAUCUGAAUACGAGAAGCACAAUCAACAAAAUUCUGUUCAUUGUAUUACAUAAGAAAUAGAUUGUGGAAUCCAUGGUACUGGAAGUCGCAGGACCCUUAACCAACUAAUUUACAAAAAAAAAAAAAAACACCAAAUCAGAUUUGGGCAAAUUGAAAAUGGAUAGAUGAAUUGUACAAGUUUGUAUGGUGAUCUGAAUAGUAUAUUGGCCUACUCCCACUUGUUUUGAGCAAUAUUGUGUCUUCUAAUGAAAUACUUUCAGGGUUUCUUUCAAGGGUUUCCAUGGGUUUAUUUCCUUAAUUUAAUUAAGACCCCAUGAAAAUGUGAAGACAUUUGUACCCACCAAACACUAAUGCAAAGAAAGAAUAUAAGACUCUUUAUGAGUCUAGUUCAAUAAUAUUCUAUUGACUUUUGAAAUGAACAUAUAUAGUAUCGGAUGAUUGACACUAAUUACUAUAGACCUUUUUGGUUUCUUUAUGAUAAAAACAUAGAAUAAGCAUUGAUGAAUGAAAUUGCCUAAUGGCUUCCAAGAUUAAAUUUCUUCAUAUUGAGACAAAGCAUCAAUUAAUUACCAAGCUCAUAAUCAGAAAUGAAUGGUAUUUGCAGGGAGACAUACUUUGAGCUACAGGUAUCUAAUAUGGAUUGUUGGAGAUGAGAUCCAUUAACUCAUUAAUCAGAAAUGGAUGGUAUUUGCAGGGAGACAUACUUUGGACUGAUGCAAGAAACAUUGUUUCUCAUGGUGGCAUGGACAGAUUCCUUUCUGUGUAUAUAAUUACAAAGAAGGAAAUGCAGUUGGUUGGCUUAACUUCACUGUUGCUAGCAUCAAAAUACGAGGACUUUUGGCAUCCAAAGGUCAAGGAUUUGAUUAGCAUCUCAGCUGAUUCAUAACAAGAAAUGAAAUGCUUCAAUGGAGUCUUAUUCUCAAGAAGUUGAUGUUCCGUCUGAAUGUGCCAACACCAUACGUGUUCAUGUUAAGGUUUCUCAAGGCUGCUCAGUCUGAUAUGAAGCUUGAACAUCUCGCUUUCUACCUUAUUAAGCUGUCCCUAGUUGAAUAUGAAGCUUUGAAAUUCAAACCAUCCUUGCUAUGUGCAUCGGCUAUAUAUGUUGCACGAUGUACACUGCAAAUAGCCCUUGCUUGGACCACACUACUUAGCAGACAUGCACACUAUGAAGAAUCAGAACUCAGAGAAUGUGCAGAUAUGAUUUUGAAAUUCCAGAAGGCUGCUGCAAGGGGACAAUUGAAAGUUACAUAUGAAAAAUACUUGCAUCCUGAUCAAAGUUGUGUUGGAAUUUGAUUUUUGUUUUUUUUUUUGUUCUAUGAUGAUGGAAGUCAAUUGGAAUUUUAUGGAU